AAAGUGCGACAAGUGUCACGACUUGCAGAUACCCGAGAGCUGACAAAUUUCUGAAUGCAAAUUGCAGCCAUGUUAACCUGGCUAUGUAUUGCAGAGAGUACUUCGCUUAUGCGCUCCAUCCAGUCAUGUUUUCAUCUCUGGGACAUGCGACUUCCCGUCUUGUGUCGUCGUCGUGUGUGUGCGUGUGCGUGCUAUGCACGCCACCACCACGCAACACGCACAAAUAAAAAGACGAGGAGGUUGUCAAAGGAAGAAAACCUUGAGUUUUCCUGGCUAUUAUUUUAUAUUAACCUGAGACGAUUAGAAAUCUCUUUUCUCCUCUCACCUCUCACCUCUGCAAUGCAGGAGAACCCGCUGAACUUAA
Molecule: unclassified non-coding RNA, 364 nt
Filed under: uncultured fungus
Lineage: Eukaryota; Fungi
Description: sequence contains ITS1
Rfam family: 5.8S ribosomal RNA (bases 1-101)
Source: RNAcentral